AGCAGCCGCGGUAAUUCCAGCUCCAAUAGCGUAUAUUAAAGUUGUUGCAGUUAAAAAGCUCGUAGUUGAAUUUCGGGAUCAAUUUGCUGGUCGUGCCUCUGGUACGUACUGGUAUUAUUGGUUUCUCCCUUCUGACGAACCAUGAUGUCAUUAAUUUGAUGUCGUGGAGAAUCAGGACUGUUACUUUAGAAAAAUUAGAGUGUUUAAAGCAGGCAUUAGCUUGAAUACAUUAGCAUGGAAUAAUGAAAUAGGACGUUUGAUCCUAUUUUGUUGGUUUCUAGGAUUGACGUAAUGAUUAAUAGGGAUAGUUGGGGGCAUUAGUAUUCAAUUGUCAGAGGUGAAAUUCUUGGAUUUAUUGAAGACUAACUACUGCGAAAGCAUUUGCCAAGGAUGUUUUCAUUAAUCAAGAACGAAAGUUAGGGGAUCGAGGACGAUCAGAUACCGUCGUAGUCUUAACCAUAAACUAUGCCGACUAGGGAUCGGAUGAUGUUAAUUUUUAAUGACUCAUUCC
This 511-nucleotide ribosomal RNA is filed under the name uncultured Glomus. RNAcentral describes it as "SSU rRNA". It matches the Rfam family "Eukaryotic small subunit ribosomal RNA", at positions 569 to 1082 of the family's 1831-position model. Lineage: Eukaryota; Fungi; Glomeromycota; Glomeromycetes; Glomerales; Glomeraceae. The record is from RNAcentral.